UGCUGCUCCAGUAUUAAUAUAAGAAGGUUCAGGAAGUAGGAACGACUUCUGCUGAGAAACCGACAAUCCAGACCCAGAAACUCACCCGAAACAGAGAGAAACGAUGGUGUGACUGCUUAUAAAAGCUUGUGCCUACGUGGUCAGGAAGGUCCAGGCUUCCAUCGCUGAGGGAGAGCAGAAGGAAGCGCCUUUCCUGACACCAUGUAGUGCUAAAGCUGAACGUGAUGCGAGGCUGAAGUCCACGGCCUCCGCUGCUGCGCUGAAUCCAGGAUCUGAUGAGGAUGUUGGAGGAGCUGCAGCCGUGGGGACGUGCCCGGGGACUUCAGUGCAGAAAUGUGCUACUGCUCCCUGACGCUAAACCUGUGGCCGCCGGACCCUUGGACUGGAUCAUCUGUUAAAUAUGUACAUGUGAAGUCCAGCUAAAUCAUUUACAUGAGGGAUCUUUCCUCCCGUGUCUAAAAGUUGGUUAAUUGGACGUUUUUAAAUUAUGUAUUUCAAAACAAGACUUAACAAAGUACAAAUAAAACGUGUCCAAGUGGAACGCAGUGGCCAGAGUCCAGCUCAGGACGACACGCCAGGCGGCCUUUUUCACUACAAACAUUUUGAUGCUGAAUGCAACGCUGGAGUGUUUGUGACGAAAUGUUUCUGGUGAAAAGGGUUCCUGUAAGUUUUCUUUAAUUUAUGUGCUGCAGCGUGUGAAGGCUGGCUCACCAACCUCUCUGCGUAGAGGCUGAGCAGGCCUGAUGUUCCUGCUGCCGCAUCCUUCAAUAAAUAUACUUUAAAACCUA
Molecule: long non-coding RNA, 788 nt
Organism: Cololabis saira (Pacific saury)
Lineage: Eukaryota; Metazoa; Chordata; Actinopteri; Beloniformes; Belonidae
Exons: 3
Source: RefSeq, a predicted model, not a curated record